CAAACACCUCCCACGCACCACCUAAAAAAUUCAGCAAACACCGAACCGAACCCUAGCACUUCUCCUCCUCAUCCGUUCCUCCUCCCUAUCUUCAGCCGAUCUCGUGGCGGUGAGUUCAAUAUGGCAGCACAUCAUGCGCGCCUCACGAAUACUUCUCUGAUUGAUCCAGCACUCCAAUAACAUGGCGGAGAAGGCUCCUCUGAACAUUAAGUAUUCUCCGUCCAGAAUCCAGACUGGAACAGCCUCGGUUCGCCACCCGACAUCAUCGGCGCAGUGUCAAUAACUCCUGCUUCCACUCUUCCUCUUCUUCGGCAUCUCUGUGUCUCCUCCCCUCUGGAACAGGUUCAAGAAAAGCUAUGAUGGCAGGAAAUCAAUUCAGUAGGGUGUCGUCGUGGGCGAUACUACCGACACAGUAAUGCCCACUACCACAGACACAUGCUACAGUUAUAUGGCUCGGGGUGGACAAGCCUGAAAAGUUCGUCGAAGAUUCAAGGCACAUGUCGUCUGUUUGCCUACGUACGAUCCUAUAUUUUUUUGUUGCUAACUGUGGAUACUGAUUUUUUUUGGAAGAAGAUGAAAAACAAUUGCUUUCAGAUAGCCUGGGUGUGAAACGUACAUUCUCUAGAUGUUUUUAUAAUAAUUUUGUAAUACUAA
Triticum aestivum (bread wheat) is the source of this 654-nucleotide long non-coding RNA. RefSeq lists it as uncharacterized. The transcript is spliced from 2 exons. The record is from RefSeq and is a predicted model, not a curated record. NCBI's taxonomy places the organism in Eukaryota, Viridiplantae, Streptophyta, Magnoliopsida, Poales, Poaceae.